This 495-nucleotide ribosomal RNA is filed under the name uncultured bacterium. Its description in RNAcentral is "partial 16S ribosomal RNA". It matches the Rfam family "Bacterial small subunit ribosomal RNA", at positions 28 to 507 of the family's 1533-position model. The record is from RNAcentral.
GACGAACGCUGGCGGCGUGCCUAAUACAUGCAAGUAGAACGCUGAAGGAGGAGCUUGCUUCUCUGGAUGAGUUGCGAACGGGUGAGUAACGCGUAGGUAACCUGCCUGGUAGCGGGGGAUAACUAUUGGAAACGAUAGCUAAUACCGCAUAAGAGUAGAUGUCGCAUGACAUUUGCUUAAAAGGUGCAAUUGCAUCACUACCAGAUGGACCUGCGUUGUAUUAGCUAGUUGGUGAGGUAACGGCUCACCAAGGCAACGAUACAUAGCCGACCUGAGAGGGGGAUCGGCCACACUGGGACUGAGACACGGCCCAGACUCCUACGGGAGGAAGCAGUAGGGAAUCUUCGGCAAUGGACGGAAGUCUGACCGAGCAACGCCGCGUGAGUGAAGAAGGUUUUCGGAUCGUAAAGCUCGGUUGUAAGAGAAGAACGAGUGUGAGAGUGGAAAGUUCACACUGUGACGGUAUCUGAACAGAAAGAGACGGCUAACUACGUG